Molecule: ribosomal RNA, 119 nt
Organism: Myripristis murdjan (pinecone soldierfish)
Lineage: Eukaryota; Metazoa; Chordata; Actinopteri; Holocentriformes; Holocentridae
Source: Ensembl
GCUUACGGCCACACCACCCUGAGCACGCCCGAUCUCGUCCGAUCUCGGAAGCUACGCAGGGUCGGCCCUGGUUAGUACUUGGAUGGGAGACCGCCUGGGAAUACCAGGUGCUGUAAGCU